GAUGAACGCUGGCGGCGUGCCUAAUACAUGCAAGUCGAGCGAACGGACGAGAAGCUUGCUUCUCUGAUGUUAGCGGCGGACGGGUGAGUAACACGUGGAUAACCUACCUAUAAGACUGGUAUAACUUCGGGAAACCGGAGCUAAUACCGGAUGAUAUUUUGAACCGCAUGGUUCAAAAGUGAAAGACGGUCUUGCUGUCACUUAUAGAUGGAUCCGCGCUGCAUUAGCUAGUUGGUAAGGUAACGGCUUACCAAGGCAACGAUGCAUAGCCGACCUGAGAGGGUGAUCGGCCACACUGGAACUGAGACACGGUCAAGACUACUACGGGAGGCAGCAGUAGGGAAUCGUCCGCAAUGGGCGAAAGCAUGACGGAGCAAAGCCGCGUGAGUGAUGAAGGUCUUCGGAUCGUAAAACUCUGUUAUUAGGGAAGAACAUAUGUGUAAGUAACUGUGCACAUCUUGACGGUAACUAAUCAGAAAGCAACGGCUAACUACGUG
RNAcentral lists this ribosomal RNA (497 nucleotides) under uncultured bacterium. RNAcentral's name for it is "partial 16S ribosomal RNA". It matches the Rfam family "Bacterial small subunit ribosomal RNA", at positions 28 to 507 of the family's 1533-position model. The record is from RNAcentral.